Molecule: long non-coding RNA, 1056 nt
Filed under: Capra hircus (goat)
Lineage: Eukaryota; Metazoa; Chordata; Mammalia; Artiodactyla; Bovidae
Description: lncRNA (ENSCHIG00010013472.1)
Source: RNAcentral
AAACAGCCCAGAUGCUGGGUCCCCAGGGCUGGUUAAAGGAGGAAGUGAAGCCAGGUGAACAGCACUUGAGGGGGCAGUAGAGACCCUUCCCUUUCUGGAAUAAUACAAACCCUGAUGGAUCCCUCACCGCAGUGACAAGAGGGCAGCCUCCCUGUGCAGACAGAGGGGCUGGUCAUGUGCUAAUGCCUUCCUACAAGAGUGGAGUCUCCAAAUCACAAAGCUUCUCAGAUCACAGCGGGGAAAAGAAUCACAUCUUUCUCUCCUGUGUUGCUUCACCACUGAGAAAAAAAAAAAGGAAAAGAGAAAUCCACUGACCCUGAAAAUAGCUCUCUGUCUCCUCCCUCCCAGACAAAUUCACAUUAUCACCUUUCCCUGCAGCGGGGUGAUAAUUAAUGUUCCACCCGAGAGAGGUUUCGUUAUUCCAUCAGAAUUACCUAUUAAUUUUCUGGAUUCUUCUGACGAAGCGGUGAACUUGUCAUGAAGGGCACGUUGUUCAGAACGUGAAAUAUCCUUUCAUUUUCAACAGGUAAAUCAAGGCCAAAUCAACCUAGACAUGUUUAAUUUCCUCUCUCGACAUGGUUCCCUCUGUUCUCAUGGCUGUGGAUGUUUCUUUUUUUCAAGAACAUUUUCUAAGUUCUCUGCUCUCGUGCUGGGCAAAUCGUUUGGGCUUCAUCAGUAGCUUCUAUUGUUUCCUAGCUUCUCAGUAGAGGAAGGUUCACGCUGUUUUCUUAAACUGGAAAACUGAACAUUUCCUGCUCAGAAUGGGAGAGAGACCUCAUUCCAACACUUGCAUCCACUGAUUCUCUCAUGGGACUUCUCCUGCCCAGUGGUUUUGUGGGUUCUCCCGAUUUGCCCACACCUUGAUGUGCUUCUCUGCAAAAAUGUUGUCAGUGGGUAUGUAUACCUUAAUCCCUCUGCCUCUCACAACAGGGCUUCCCUCUCUCAACAAGUCUGUACCAAAAAUGUCUCAGGAAAACACACCAAGGGCAGCCCUGCUGGAGAAAAAAAAGUGAAAGUCGCUCAGUCGUGUCCGACUCUUUGCAACCUCAUGGACUA